This 500-nucleotide long non-coding RNA is filed under the name Rattus norvegicus (Norway rat). RNAcentral's name for it is "long non-coding RNA NONRATT008028". Lineage: Eukaryota; Metazoa; Chordata; Mammalia; Rodentia; Muridae. The record is from RNAcentral.
AGCACCUUUCCACACUAACCCAUCUCACCUCCCCAAGUUCCUGAUCAUUGUGGGGAGGGACUCGUCACCGCCCUUUCUCAGACAGCCACACGUCUCUUGCACAAGCACACUCCUCUGGUAUACAUUCAGGUUUUGUUUGUCUAUCCACUUUCCCGUCUCUGGUUUACCUGAGAAUAUCCUGGGUCAAGGUAGAGGGAGCUCAGAGAAUGUGAAAGCCCCCCUGGUCUCGAUGGGGGGCCGCUCAGGUGAGUGGGCAGAAAAGGGAGCUGAUUCACUGGCUCCUCCUGACUUGGUUCCUACAGCUGACUGAGCCGGAAGUCACUUCCUCGUGUGCAAAUAGAGUUCUCAAUGGCCACUUGGUUCGAGUGCCCGGAGCCUGGGCUGCGAGUCUCUUAAGUGGAAUUAAUAUGGUGUGUUGGUAGAGGCUAAUUAAUGAGCUGUAGACAAGCCAAAGCCUCAAAUCACUUGUAUGACAAGAAAUUACUGGGGAAAAAAAAAAA